Molecule: RNA transcript, 2910 nt
Organism: Rhododendron vialii
Lineage: Eukaryota; Viridiplantae; Streptophyta; Magnoliopsida; Ericales; Ericaceae
Exons: 7
Source: RefSeq, a predicted model, not a curated record
ACUCUUCCAUUCGCUCCAGACUUGGGGAAGCAGCUAGAGCAAGCCAGAAACCUCAUCCUCACGCAAAAGAAGAACAAGACGACCAGACUCCGACCCAGCGCCCGCAUCCGAGCCCGACUUGGACAGCCGGGACUCGCCUUCGCAGCGGAGUCGCAGCCGACGACGCCUCGAUUCGAUGAUUCUGAGGACAGCGACGAUGGAAGGCGGAGGAAGAGAACGUCUUCGAAGGUUUUUAGGAUUCAAUUGCUUCUUUUUUUUCCCCUGCUUCUUUUUUAUUGUUUGAUUUUUAGGUGAAGUUUGGUGCUUUUUUUAGGCACUUUAUUAAAGUCGCGAAGAAAUUGAAGGCGGGUGUCUGGUUAUUCGAACGAUUCCAACCCCUUUGGCGAUUCUAAUCUCAACGAGAAAUUUGUAUGGCAAAAGAAGAUUGAGAAGGAAAUUCUCAAGGUGUGCCACUUGACUUGUAUUCAAUGAAAGCUGAGAAGAAGAAGCAAAGAGAAAGGAUGGCAGUGUUCGGCGACUUGCUACUGCAAAGUGUUCCAAACAAAUCAAUAUGCAUCUCACUCUAGGUAGCCCUAGCCCACAUUUCAAUUGGUUUGAGGUCUCAACGGAUGAGAGAGUUAAUAGCUUCUCAGUCAACCCUUUGGCAACACCCUGGAAAGGUGGUACAAAACUCAGGACAAGUUCUGUAACCAUCAGUGGAUAGCAUCUACCGAUGACUUACAAUGUUAGAAUAAGGGUACUAGGGAAGAGCUGCGAAAGAUCCGGAGCCGGGACGGUGCCGGAGGACUGAUGGCAAGAAGUGGCGCUGCUCAAGGGAUGUGGUGGCUGGCCAAAAGUAUUGCAAGCGCCACGUGCACCGUGGCCGCAGCCGUUCAAGACAGCCUGGAGAGAUCUCCAAACCCUCCAUUCCUGGUGGCGGCAGUGGUGGUGGUGUCCUCAACCCGACCCUUCUUGCUUCCCAAUUGGUCUCCGGACCCUACUCCCCGUUCCAUUGAUGUCCUCUAUCUCAAUCAAAGGUUUGGGUACUGAUAUCUCCUUGCUAGGGCCCCAUUUUAAAGUCAGGCCAAGCUAUUUGGGAUUUGGUAUGAGAGCAUCUGAACUGAAGUGAUGCUUUCAAGGACCCUGUGAACUUGGAAUCCUUGUCUUCUGUGUGUUUACCAUGCAUUCCUGUUUGGCUUGUUGCAUAAGCUGUUAACAUUCUCAGAUGUUAACUGCGGCUAGCAUUUUAGCUAACCACUGUGGGCCACCCGGUAUACUCUAUAUUUACGUUGCAACGCAUAUUUGAUAUUUGCAUUGCAACAAAACAGACAUUGAGACUGCAUUUAAAAUUCAAGGCCGUUGCACGGUUUCUUUCAAAAGGUGUUGAACCCGCAACCUUUGGAUUCAUUCCAUGGUUAGGAAUAGGAAAAAAAUUCCCAAAAAUCAUUGCCAAACUUAUAUUGAUGCAUGUCUUCCAGAAAAUGGAUAAGAGACCUCUUUUGUUAACACUAGAUUCAAGCAACAGUGCAACUCUCAAACAUCACUAACAUUUGAUUCCCAAGUGUGUACUAAGAUGUUGCUACAGGGGACUACUGAGCUAGUGUAUAUAUCCUGUCACCUUGUUCCUUUAUUUGAUUUCACAAAAUCAUCAAUGUCUCAAACUUAUGAAUUUUGAUCUCCCAGUGCACAAAACAAAAAGGACAAGUGCAGCAAAGAGUAAGAAAACCUAAUUGGAGUAAGGAUGAAGAUGAAGCACUCUGUAAAGCAUGGUUAAGUAUCUCAGAAGAUCCAGCUACUUUGACGGAUGAUCAACUGAGAACAAAGUUUUGGGAUCGAAUUUUGGCCGAGUUCAAUACCGUCUUGGGUUGGGAGACAGAAAGAUAUAGCUCAGGUUUGAUGAACCGCUGGUCGGUCAUCCAAUCCCGCGUUAACAAAUACUCUGAUUGUGUGUGCGCAAUAGAGAGGAAUCGGACCAGCCGCUAUAAUGUUGAAGAAUCGAUAGGGGCUGCAAACCAGUCGUAUUAUAAUUCAGAAGGCCACCACUUUAAGUGGGAUGGUUGUUGGUUACUCCUCAAAGACUCCCCAAAGUGGCUUAACUACAGAGGGAAACAAGUAUCGAAAAAACAGAAAACUGCACACACGAACGUAGAAGGUUUCAAUGUGGAUCUUCAUCAAACAAUAGAUUCCUCUACUCCAGCGACUACACCAAGUUCGAAUGCAGGAUCAGGAAGCCUCGACGAUGAGAAUUCACCAUUUGUCAAAGAAUCACAUGAACUACCACAACCCUCUGGACGAAACCGGCAGAGAACAUUCGCCGAAAGAAGAAUGUCAACGAGUUAGAUGCCAUAAAAUCAUUCGUUACAGAAUUUCGCAACUGGAGCUAGAGUGAAAAUUCAAGAGAUCACGAUGUUGAAUAAACGAGAAGAACUGAAAAUUCAAGCCAAACUGGAGCUAGAGUGAAUGCAGAUCACAGUUACACCGGAUUAUGAACAAAUGAAAUUGGAGCGAGAGAGAUUAUGAUGACUGAUCCGAAUUUGGUUCCUACUGAAGACGGAAAAGCUUGGAUCAUUGCAAAGCAAAAGGCAAUUUUGGCGUGUACUUUACAAGGUGCCUUGAGUGGCAGUGGGAUUUAAACUGGUAUGGUGUAGUAGAUUGGUAGCAUUUGUACUUCCUUCAAUAUCUGUGGUAGUAUCUCUGUAAUCAGAUCCUCCAGGAAAGAGAAAACAAGAAACCCAAUCAAUGGUCCAGAACUCUUCCCUAGAAUACCAAAACUCUUCCCGGGAAGAGUUACUUUAAAUCUGGACUGUUGAUUAGGGUUACUGGACUUAGUGUCCUGGUUCAUAUCAUAUCUAGGCAAUUGGGCACUUUUUACUCUUUCUGUGAUGUUCAUGUUCAGCUUUUUUAUUGAUGGUAGGAGUAAUUUCUACUGUA